UACGUAGGGCGCAAGCAUUGUCCGGAAUUAUUGGGCGUAAAGCGCGCGCAGGCGGCUCUUUAAGUCUGGUGUUUAAGUGCGGGGCUCAACCCCGUGACGCACUGGAAACUGGGGAGCUUGAGUGCAGAAGAGGGGAGCGGAAUUCCACGUGUAGCGGUGAAAUGCGUAGAGAUGUGGAGGAACACCCGUAGCGAAGGCGGCACUCUGGGCCGGAACUGACGCUGAGGAGCGAAAGCGUGGGGAGCAAACAGG
Molecule: ribosomal RNA, 252 nt
Filed under: uncultured bacterium
Lineage: Bacteria
Description: partial 16S ribosomal RNA
Rfam family: Bacterial small subunit ribosomal RNA
Source: RNAcentral